Molecule: ribosomal RNA, 437 nt
Filed under: uncultured soil bacterium
Lineage: Bacteria
Description: bacterial SSU rRNA
Rfam family: Bacterial small subunit ribosomal RNA
Source: RNAcentral
AGAGCGAACGCUGGCGGCAGGCCUAACACAUGCAAGGCGAACGAACUCUUCGGAGUUAGUGGCGGACGGGUGAGUAACACGUGGGAACGUGCCUUUUGGUUCGGAAUAACUCAGGGGAACUUGUGCUAAUACCGAAUGUGCCCUUCGGGGGAAAGAUUUAUCGCCAUUAGAGCGGCCCGCGUCUGAUUAGCUAGUUGGUGGGUAAAGCCCACAAGGCUACGAUCAGUAGCUGGUCUGAGAGGAUGACCAGCCACAUUGGGACUGAGACACGGCCCAAACUCCUACGGGAGCAGCAGUGGGAAUCUGCGCAAGUGGGCGAAAGCCCGACGCAGCCAUGCCGCGUGAAUGAUGAAGUCUAGGAUUGUAAAUUCUUACACCGGGACGAGUAAUGACGGUACCGGAGAAGAAGACCCGGACUAACUCGUGCCAGCAGCCGC